This 1529-nucleotide unclassified non-coding RNA is filed under the name Drosophila mojavensis. RNAcentral describes it as "GI18094". The record is from RNAcentral. Lineage: Eukaryota; Metazoa; Arthropoda; Insecta; Diptera; Drosophilidae.
UAUACGUCAAUUGCUGCUGUGUGUGCGAUAGAGAUAUCAAUUGCCGGACAUUGACUGAACGAAGAGUGAGAGGAGGAUAACGGCUGCCAGUGUGCUCUGCUUUUCUCUUAUUUAUUCGCAUGUUAUUUUUAGGUUAAGCAUAGACAUAAUGAAGGCGUUAAUUUAGCUAAUGCCAGCGCAGCUUGGCUUUUUAUAAGCUGCCAGCAUAAUAUCGACUACAUAUAUAUGUAUAGAUCAAACAAAUAAAAACAAAUUGGAAAAAAAACAUGUCUAAAGUCUUUUAUAUUACGAAGCAAAUGGAAUCCACGGUGAUACCGUCAUGCAACUCAAUAAUAUCGAAUGGAAGCGUUUUUAAAGUCAUGGCCUAUACACGCUGUGGCAGGGAACCGGUCCGCACCACAAUUACCGUUAAGGAGUUGAUUGGCAAGGGCACCUUCGGCCGCGUCUACAAGGCGCAUCUCGACAAAUCGGAGCGUCUGGUGGCUCUAAAGCAAGUCGACUUCGAUCCCCACCUGAUGGAACGAGAGCCGGAAAUAAUGAAUUACCUGGAGGGGCACUGCAAUAUAGUACGCCUGAUCAUGUACUGCUAUGCCCAGAUAAACUGCUCCAAGCAAAACUAUCUGCUCAUGGCCAUGGAGUACAUGCCAAUGACGCUCGCCGAGCUCAUAAUCAAGCAUCGCCAGCGACCCCUGCAGAUGAUCUACGUGCGCAUUAUCUCCUAUCAACUGUUCCGGGGCCUCGGUUAUUUGCACUCGCACUGCAUCUGCCAUCGGGACAUUAAGCCGGAGAAUAUGCUGAUCGAUCCGCUUACAAUGAGCCUCAAAUUGGCCGACUUUGGCAGCGCCAAGUUCCUGGACAUCAACGAGUCGAGUGCCACGUACGUCUGCUCGCGGUUCUAUCGGGCGCCCGAACUCUAUGCCGGAUGCCAGCGUUAUAGCACCACGGUGGACGUCUGGAGCGCCGGCUGUGUGCUCGCCGAGCUGCUCAAGAGCUUCGCGCUCUUCGCCAGCAACAUGCACGACGAGGCCCAGCUGCUGCACAUGAUUAGUGUCCUGGGCACCGACGGCUUGGAGCGUGCGCCUCAUAUCCUGGCAGCCAGUGGCCUGGACACCGCCACUACAAUCAUCCCGCGACCCAGUUGGCAAAUGCUAAUUGGCGUCUGGGUGCCACAGGAUUUGGCAGCACUACUCGAUGCUUGCCUGCAGUAUGAUCCCACAGCUCGCAUCGCCCCGCUGCGAGCCUGUGCCCACGCCAGCUAUGACGAGCUGCGCACCAUGGAUCCCCUCAACACCCACAUGCCCAACGGAAUGCGGCCGCCAUCCCUAUUCAACUUCAGCCAGCAUGAGCUGCAGGUUGAUCCCGGCCUCUGGAUGCAUCUAUUACCUCUCCAACUUGCGGAAGUCAUCGAGCAGUAGCGACUCAAGUGCAACACUAGAUUUUAAGUUCAUGUAGUUUAUAGUCGCUCAAGGCUGUAUUAGUUAUAUACAUAGCUUUUUAAAUACUAAACAUGAGGAGCAACUCCUGCACUA